RNAcentral lists this ribosomal RNA (253 nucleotides) under uncultured bacterium. Its description in RNAcentral is "partial 16S ribosomal RNA". It matches the Rfam family "Bacterial small subunit ribosomal RNA", at positions 524 to 776 of the family's 1533-position model. The record is from RNAcentral.
UGCAGAGGCCUCGAGCGUUAGGCGGAAUCACUGGGCUUAAAGCGUGUGUAGGCGGAGUGCUAAGUACCUUGUGAAAUCCCACAGCUCAACUGUGGAAUUGCUUGGUAUACUGGCAUUCUUGAGCCAUCUAGGGGCGAGCGGAACAAAUGGUGGAGCGGUGAAAUGCGUAGAUAUCAUUUGGAACGCCAACGGUGAAAACAGCUCGCUGGGGAUGUGCUGACGCUGAGACACGAAAGCCAGGGGAGCAAACGGG